This 91-nucleotide transfer RNA is filed under the name Bacteroidales bacterium. RNAcentral describes it as "tRNA-Arg". It matches the Rfam family "tRNA". Rfam says of the family: Transfer RNA (tRNA) molecules are approximately 80 nucleotides in length. Their secondary structure includes four short double-helical elements and three loops (D, anti-codon, and T loops). The record is from RNAcentral. Lineage: Bacteria; Pseudomonadati; Bacteroidota; Bacteroidia; Bacteroidales.
GAGGGCAUAGUGUAACGGAAGCACACAGGCUCCCGGGGCCUGAUCGCCGGUUUCCACCCCGGCAGAAGAGGUUCGACUCCUCUUGCCCUUG